This 956-nucleotide non-coding RNA is filed under the name Cryptopsaras couesii (triplewart seadevil). RNAcentral's name for it is "12S rRNA". It matches the Rfam family "Bacterial small subunit ribosomal RNA". Lineage: Eukaryota; Metazoa; Chordata; Actinopteri; Lophiiformes; Ceratiidae. The record is from RNAcentral.
CAUAGGCCUGGUCCUGACCUUACUAUCAACUUUAACCUAAAUUAUACAUGCAAGUAUCCGCACCCCGGUGAGAAUGCCCUAAGACCCCUAAACUUUGGGGCCAGGGAGCCGGUAUCAGGCACAGCACAGCUAGCCCACGACGCCUUGCUCUGAGCCACACCCCCAAGGGGCCCCAGCAGUAGUAAACAUUAAGCAAUAAGUGAAAACUUGACUUAAUUAAGGUUAGAACCAAGGGCCGGUAAAGAAUUGUGCCAGCUACCGCGGUUAAACGAGAGGCCCAAGUUGAUAGACAUCGGCGUAAAGAGUGGUUAUGAAUUAAUUACCAUAAAGUAAAAUACCCCCAGAGCCGUGAUAAGCACCCCGGGAUGAGAACAUCAAUCACGAAAGUAACUUUAGAAGAUCAGACCCCACGAGAGCCAGGGCACAAACUGGGAUUAGAUACCCCACUAUGCCUAGCUAUAAACCACGACACCAAAAUACCAACAGUGUCCGCCCGGGGACUACGAGCGUGAGCUUAAAACCCAAAGGACUUGGCGGUGCUUUAGACCCCUAGAGGAGCCUGUUCUAGAACCGAUGAUCCCCGCUCAACCUUACCUUUUCUUGCUCCUUCCCGCCUGUAUACCUCCGUCGUCAGCUAACCUUAUGAAGGCAUAAAAGUAAGCAAGAUCGGCUUUCUCCCAAAACGUCAGGUCAAGGUGCAGCGAAUGAAAAGGCUGUAAUGGGCUACAUUCCCUAGUAAAGGGCACACGAAUGGGAGAUUGAAAUAUCUCCCUGAAGGAGGAUUUAGUAGUAAGCACAAAGUAGAGCGUUGUGCUGAAUAUACCCAAUAAAGCGCGCACACACCGCCCGUCACCCUCCCCAAAACCGAUAAACUCAGUAAUUAAACCCCUAACAUGGGCCAAAGGGGAGGCAAGUCGUAACAUGGUAAGUGUACCGGAAGGUGCACUUGGAAAAUA